RNAcentral lists this ribosomal RNA (762 nucleotides) under Kocuria palustris. RNAcentral describes it as "bacterial SSU rRNA". It matches the Rfam family "Bacterial small subunit ribosomal RNA", at positions 54 to 825 of the family's 1533-position model. The record is from RNAcentral. Lineage: Bacteria; Bacillati; Actinomycetota; Actinomycetes; Micrococcales; Micrococcaceae.
CAUGCAAGUCGAACGCUGAAGCACCAGCUUGCUGGUGUGGAUGAGUGGCGAACGGGUGAGUAAUACGUGAGUAACCUGCCCUUGACUCUGGGAUAAGCCCGGGAAACUGGGUCUAAUACUGGAUGCUACAUGUCACCGCAUGGUGGUGUGUGGAAAGGGUUUACUGGUCUUGGAUGGGCUCACGGCCUAUCAGCUUGUUGGUGAGGUAAUGGCUCACCAAGGCGACGACGGGUAGCCGGCCUGAGAGGGUGACCGGCCACACUGGGACUGAGACACGGCCCAGACUCCUACGGGAGGCAGCAGUGGGGAAUAUUGCACAAUGGGCGAAAGCCUGAUGCAGCGACGCCGCGUGAGGGAUGACGGCCUUCGGGUUGUAAACCUCUUUCAGCAGGGAAGAAGCCACAAGUGACGGUACCUGCAGAAGAAGCGCCGGCUAACUACGUGCCAGCAGCCGCGGUAAUACGUAGGGCGCAAGCGUUGUCCGGAAUUAUUGGGCGUAAAGAGCUCGUAGGCGGUUUGUCGCGUCUGCUGUGAAAGCCCGGGGCUUAACCCCGGGUGUGCAGUGGGUACGGGCAGACUAGAGUGCAGUAGGGGAGACUGGAAUUCCUGGUGUAGCGGUGGAAUGCGCAGAUAUCAGGAGGAACACCGAUGGCGAAGGCAGGUCUCUGGGCUGUUACUGACGCUGAGGAGCGAAAGCAUGGGGAGCGAACAGGAUUAGAUACCCUGGUAGUCCAUGCCGUAAACGUUGGGCACUAGGUGUGG